Molecule: long non-coding RNA, 2629 nt
Filed under: Ursus thibetanus thibetanus
Lineage: Eukaryota; Metazoa; Chordata; Mammalia; Carnivora; Ursidae
Description: lncRNA (ENSUTTG00000008252.1)
Source: RNAcentral
UGUGUUGUCUCUUUUGCUUUGUUCUCUCCUAUUGCUGAGAUACAUACAAACAGUUCCUUUGCCUGUCCAACAGAUGAUCCUUACUACUUGAUACAAAUUCAACCAUUGUGUCCCCUCUGGAAUCUACAAUAACGGCCCGCCAUAAUAGUUGCUUGUAGGGACCACCUACAGUGACCAAUUUUGGUCCACAGUGGCUGUUUCCCAUGAUGCCAAGAAGAACUGAUUCUGUCAGUGGUUGUUCGUCAUCCAGCUCGAGAUUUACAGUACUCUUCAGAGAAUUUGAAGAGAGUCAGAGUACCCUCCUUUAGAGAGUUUGAAGAGGCUGGUCCUGGGCCAAUUUGUCCUCAAAUUCCCUUCUUGGUCUGGCUCUUUUGCAAAAGAAUGGACUCCGCUGCCAGUUGGCGUAUUGCCAGUGUGGGACAGGGGAGAGAAAUUGAAGGGUGAGAGGAAGAGGGAAGACAUGCUCUGUCUGCUCCAUCUCCUUGACAGCGGCGCCUUGAUGGGCAGCAGUUGUGUUUCCUAAUGGUGCCCCAGCUCCGGAAAGAAAGACUUGGAGCCAUCAUGCAAGAGUAUCCAGGUGGGAUUCAGAAGGGAACUCAGAGGACCUCACCUCAUAGCCCAGAGCCAAAUAACUCAGCAAUAUCAUUGUAGUGCAUAUCUGAUGCGCUUUGGAAUUUUUAUCAGCUUUUCUAGCUAUUCUUGAUUUUAUUUAUUCGACAGGAUAAAUACAGCCAGCGAGAGAGGGAACACAAGCAGGGGGAGUGGGAGAGGAAGAAGCAGGCUCAUAGUAGAGGAGCCUGAUGUGGGGCUCAAUCCCAUAGCGCCGGGAUCACGCCCUGAGCCGAAGGCAGACGCUUAACCGCUGUGCCACCCAGGCGCCCCUCUGCCUACUUUUUCUAUCAAGGACUGACAAGUAAUGUUUGUAUUUUCUAUUAAUAUAGAGCUUUGGGUGGUUUUCCUUUCAAUUAAAAUAGUUUUGAGGUUUUGUUGUUUGUUUGUUUGGUGGGGGGGUGCCUGGUGGCUUACUUUUCAAAUAUGAUGCUUUGGUUAAUUUUGUCUCUAUUUCUUUCAUUUGUCUAGCUGAUUCCUAUGGUUUUCUUCAUGUUAUUCAAUAUGCUGAUGAUAGCAUUGUUGAGAUCAAUUCUGAUCUUAAUGUGAAUUAAUCAGACAUUUCGCUAGUGGGUGUGGUAAAUUUCCGUAAGUUUAUAGUAGAUUCUUUUUAUGAGUAAAGAAGUUUUCUCCUAUUCCUAAGUUGCUAUGAAUUGUGAUAGUAAAUGCUGAAUUUCACUAAUGCAUUUAAUGAGAUGAUCAGAAAACUUUUCUUCUUCAAGAUAUUAACAUACUGAACUCAUAGUAAACUUUUAAAUGCUAAAGUGUUCUUGCAUUCCUGCCUGGUAUUAAUCCAAUUUGAUCAUGAUGUAUAAUUUUUAAAUGCAUAGUUAAUUCAGUUUCCUGAUACUUCUUUUUAAAAAAAGAUUUUAUUUAUUUAUUUGAGGGAGAGUGAGAGAGAGAGAGAGAACACAAGCAGGUGGAGUGGCAGGCAGAGGGAGAGGGAGAAGCAGGCUCUCUGCUGAGCAGAGAACCAGACAAGGGGCUCAGUCCCAGAACCCUGGGAUCAUGACCCAAGCUAAAGGCAGCCACUUAACCAACUGAGCCACCCAGGUGCCCCAGUGUCCUGAUACAAUGAUUUUUGCAUCUAUGACUCAUGAAAGGCCAGAAGAUUUCCUUUCUUGUUCUGUCCUUCACUAGUUUUCAUAUCAAAUUUUUCCUAUUUUCUGCUUUCUGUAUAUCUUGAUUUUUAUGUUUCUCUUUUUUCACCAUUCUGAAUUUCUUUUGGAUUACUGUAGUUUUUUAAAACACUUCUACUGCCCUCCCCCACACACACUGACUUGGAAAUUAUAAAUUCUAUUUCUCUUGGUUUUUCCUUUGAAAAUUAUAAUAAAUAUUACACAUAGUUCUGACUAAUUCCAUCUUACUAUGUAAUUGUCCACUAUUUUUUGUCAGAUCUUCUUUUCUUGCUCCCUGAGUUAGACAUUGAUAUUAUUGUUCAAAUUUUUAAGAAAAAUAUAUCUUUUUCUUUAUUUUUAUCAAUUACUUCAUCAUUAUUCCUUCUCAUUUUUCUGGGACGGUUUUCUCUUUUUUGAAAUAUACUUUGGAAUUUCCUUUAUUGAGGGUUUAUUGGAGAAGAAUGAAUCUAUUUUUGGUUGUUGUUCUAAUAUGUUUUUAUUUUGUCUACAUCCCUGAAUAAUAACUUAUCUGUAUAUAUAAUGACAGGUUGAAAUUAAUCUGUAUCAGUACUUUGAAAUGUUCUUGUUUCCACUGUUGAGAUUGAGAAGUCUGCAGUGAAUCUAAUUAUUAUUACCUACAAAGGUCAUCUUUUUCUUCUGACUGCUUUUAAAAUUAUCUCUCUGUCUUUGCUUUUAUUUUUACUAUGUAUGUUGUGGAAGAAUUUUCCUUUAUUUAUUCUGAUUAUGAGGAUUUGUCCUUUAUUAAUUAUAAACAUUUAUUAACUAUUAUCUCUUGAAAUAUUGCCUCUUCCUUUUUCUAUUUGCUUCUUUCUUCUAGAACAUCAUAUAAAUACAUAUAUAUAAAUGUGUGUAUAUAUGUAUGUGUACAUAUAUAAUAUACA